GAUCAUGGCUCAGGAUGAACGCUAGCGACAGGCCUAACACAUGCAAGUCGAGGGGCAGCGGAGAGGUAGCAAUACCUUUGCCGGCGACCGGCGCACGGGUGAGUAACACGUAUGCAAUCCACCUGUAACAGGGGGAUAACCCGGAGAAAUCCGGACUAAUACCCCAUAAUAUGGGCGCUCCGCAUGGGAGCNCUAAUAAGAG
RNAcentral lists this ribosomal RNA (202 nucleotides) under uncultured bacterium. Its description in RNAcentral is "partial 16S ribosomal RNA". It matches the Rfam family "Bacterial small subunit ribosomal RNA", at positions 15 to 206 of the family's 1533-position model. The record is from RNAcentral.